GAUGAACGCUGGCGGCGUGCCUAAUACAUGCAAGUCGAGCGAACAGACGAGAAGCUUAAUCCUCUGACGUUAGCGGCGGACGGGUGAGUAACACGUGGAUAAACCACCUAUAAUACUGGGAUAACUGCGGGAAACCGGCGCUAAUACAGGAUAAUAUAUUGAACCGCAUGGUUCAAUAGUGAAAGACGGUUUUGCUGUCACUUAUAGAUGGAUCCGCGCCGCAUUAGCUAGUUGGUAAGGUAACGGCUUACCAAGGCAACGAUGCGUAGCCGACCUGAGAGGGUGAUCGGCCACACUGGAACUGAGACACGGUCCAGACUCCUACGGGACGCAGCAGUAGGGAAUCUUCCGCAAUGGGCGAGAGCUUGACGCAGCAACCCCGCGUGAGUAAAGAAGAUCUUGGGGUCGUAAAACGCUAUUAUAAGGGAAGAACAACUGUGUAAUUAACUAUUCUCGGCUUGACGGUACCUAAACAGAAUGCCACGGCUAACUUCAGU
This 497-nucleotide ribosomal RNA is filed under the name uncultured bacterium. Its description in RNAcentral is "partial 16S ribosomal RNA". It matches the Rfam family "Bacterial small subunit ribosomal RNA", at positions 28 to 507 of the family's 1533-position model. The record is from RNAcentral.